CCCGCACAGCGGUGGAGCAUGUGGUUUAAUUCGAAGCAACGCGAAGAACCUUACCAGGUCUUGACAUCCCGAUGCUAUUUCUAGAGAUAGAAAGUUACUUCGGUACAUCGGUGACAGGUGGUGCAUGGUUGUCGUCAGCUCGUGUCGUGAGAUGUUGGGUUAAGUCCCGCAACGAGCGCAAUCCCUAUUGUUAGUUGCCAUCAUUCAGUUGGGCACUCUAGCGAGACUGCCGGUAAUAAACCGGAGGAAGGUGGGAUGACGUCAAAUCAUCAUGCCCCUUAUGACCUGGGCUACACACGUGCUACAAUGGUUGGUACAACGAGUUGCGAGUCGGUGACGGCGAGCUAAUCUCUUAAAGCCAAUCUCAGUUCGGAUUGUAGGCUGCAACUCGCCUACAUGAGGUCGGAAUCGCUAGUAAUCGCGGAUCAGCACGCCGCGGUGAAUACGUCCCCGGGCCUU
Molecule: ribosomal RNA, 459 nt
Filed under: uncultured Streptococcus sp.
Lineage: Bacteria; Bacillati; Bacillota; Bacilli; Lactobacillales; Streptococcaceae
Description: bacterial SSU rRNA
Rfam family: Bacterial small subunit ribosomal RNA
Source: RNAcentral